This is a long non-coding RNA of Oncorhynchus keta (chum salmon), 451 nucleotides long. RefSeq lists it as uncharacterized. The transcript is spliced from 3 exons. Lineage: Eukaryota; Metazoa; Chordata; Actinopteri; Salmoniformes; Salmonidae. The record is from RefSeq and is a predicted model, not a curated record.
AAGGCUACCAGUUAUACCACUGCCUUGACAAUAAUAUCAUUAGUCAUGAGGUCAUUUGACUGCAGGAAAAGGCUACCAGUUAUACCACUGCCUUGACAAUAAUAUCAUUAGUCAUGAGGUCAUUUGACUGCAGGAAAAGGCUACCAGUUAUACCACUGCCUUGACAAUAAUAUCAUUAGUCAUGAGGUCAUUUGACUGCAGGAAAAGGCUACCAGUUAUACCACUGCCUUGACAAUAAUAUCAUUAGUCAUGAGGUCAUUUGACUGCAGGAAAAGGCUACCAGUUAUACCACUGCCUUGACAAUAAUAUCAUUAGUCAUGAGGUCAUUUGACUGCAGGAAAAGGCUACCAGUUAUACCACUGCCUUGACAAUAAUAUCAUUAGUCAUGAGGUCAUUUGACUGCAGGAAAAGGCUACCAGUUAUACCACUGCCUUGACAAUAAUAUCAUUAG